GUUGCAAACCAAACAUAAGAAACAGUGUGAAGAAAACCAUGAGACAUAUAUAGCUUUUAAGUAAAUAUUAAAAGAAGCUAUGUAUCAUUGUAAACCAAAUUUAAAGUUGUUGGAAGGCCUUCAAACUGCAUCUAAGUUUGUAAAGUUUGUCUAAAAUAGUAGUGAGCCCAACAUCCAAGAAACAGAAUCGCUCAUACCAUUGCUUGGUAGGUUGGUUUCAUUACAAAUCAUACUACAAAUCUCUCACACCAUGCUUUAAAACCUCUCAAAACAAAGAAACAGAAUCAACAACAAUAGUUAAUAUAUAGAGCAACCUUCCAUUUUCAUUCUCCUCCUUAGUUGCCUUCCAAAAAAAUGAAUGCGUUAAAAAAUGAUUGGGAGAGGAANNNNNNNNNNNNNNNNNNNNNNNNNNNNNNNNNNNNNNNNNNNNNNNNNNNNNNNNNNNNNNNNNNACCAAAAGAUAAUAUGAAAAAAAACAUUAUAGAAUCUAAUAGGGGGGACAUCAUAGAGUUUUAUAAAAAAUGGGACAAAGAUGAUGAUCUUUUGAAGGAAAGACAAUCUUCCUAAAGAUUUACAUUACUAAACUUAUAUUAACCAAUCUUCCUAAAGAUUUGGGACAAAGAAAAAAUGAGAGAAGCUAAGCAUAUAUUAACCAAAAUAUAUUUGUUACCUAUCUUCCUAAAGAUGAUAGAUCCUAAGUAGUAGAUUAAGAGAAUCUAGAAUAACCAUUCUGUUGAUCAUCUUGUCAUAUAGAUGAGGGAUUCUUUCAUAAACCUUCAAUCAAACAACAUACUAAAAACCAUAAAAUUAACAACAAACUAACAAUAAAAUUAACAGCUAAAAUGGUUAUCAAUCAAUACAGAAGAAAACAUAAACACCCUUAAAGAGCUAAUAAGGCAAACAAUUAUCCAAAAAACCAGCAAACUACUAACCAAAAACCAUUGAACCAGCAACCAAAAUCCAGAAAGUAUAAAAAUUAUAAAAUAAAAUAAAAUACCCUGAUUCAUGUACUUAUUGUGAUUGUGAAAAAAUAAAAUAACCUUGAUUGAAAUUAGGAACACCAAUUAAGGCAAACAUUGAAAUCAAUGGAAUUAGAAAUACAAUUAUUAUAGUAAAAUAUUUAAACAAUAAUUUAUAAAAUUAAAAAGCAUACCUUGUGAAGCCCUUUGAGCAUUCCUUUAUGAAGAUAACCUGCAUAUCAAUAUCAAUUGACAAAAGAAAAUGCAGACAGAACAAAAAUUAAUGUUAAAAACAAAUAUUGGAUACAUAUAAAUGGUGAAACCCAAUCAAAAUUCAAAAUCCGAAAAUCAAAAUAAAUUUUGCAGUCCCAAAUGGACCUAGAAAUCAUCUAACAACCCCUUCAUCAAUCACUUAAAUACAAAAUAAAAAAUGAAAUAAAACUGAGCUAGGAGACAUAGAGUAGAGAAAGAGAAGUACCGUCAAAUUCCAACAACAACUCGAGCUUAAAUAUAUCAUCUGCAAACAACCCAUGAAUCGUUUAAAUACAAAAAGAAAACCAAAGAAAGAUCCAGAAAAUCAAGAGUGAUACCUACACUUUGGGAGAACAUGAUUCGAAUUUGGUGAAUGAAACUUUUACCUCAUGAUGCGAGAAUGUGAAAAACAAAAUAAAAAGAGGAUUAGAAAAUUAGGGAUCCUAAA
This 1659-nucleotide long non-coding RNA is filed under the name Trifolium pratense (red clover). RNAcentral describes it as "long non-coding RNA (TPRA_LNC005747)". The record is from RNAcentral. Lineage: Eukaryota; Viridiplantae; Streptophyta; Magnoliopsida; Fabales; Fabaceae.